Molecule: ribosomal RNA, 454 nt
Filed under: uncultured bacterium
Lineage: Bacteria
Description: partial 16S ribosomal RNA
Rfam family: Bacterial small subunit ribosomal RNA
Source: RNAcentral
GAUGAACGCUGACGGAAUGCUUAACACAUGCAAGUCAACUUGAACUGCGGUGUGGGUGGCGGACGGGCGAGUAACGCGUAGAGAACUUGCCUCACAGUUAGGGACAACAUUUGGAAACGAAUGCUAAUACAAGAUAUGAUGAUAUUAGGGCAUACUAGAAGUAGGAAAGCUAUAUGCGCUGUGGGAGGGCUUUGCGUCCAAUUAGCUAGUUGGAGAGGUAAGGGCUAACAAAGGCGAUGAUGGGUGGCCGGCCUGAGAGGGUGAACGGCCACAAGGGGACUGAGACACGGCCCUUAUUCCUACGGGAGGCAGCGGUGGGGAUUAUUGGACAAUGGACCAAGAGUCUGAUACAGAAAUUCUGUGUGGAAGAUGAAGUUUUUCGGAAUGUACAGUGCUUUCCGGUGAGAAGAAAAAAAUGACGGUACCAACAGAAGAAGUGACGGCUAACUACGUG